AUUUCAGCAGUAGCACUGUGACAGACCGCUGGCACACACGACUGAGUACCUCCGCCAAUCUAUGCUCCUAGCGCUUGCCGAGGACUCAGAGCACGCCAACCGACACCAUCAGCACUGCGGACCCCACUUCCAGUGAUGCAGCUGCGCAGGGAUCCAGUUCCCAGUGGGUGAACCUCUCCUAAAGGAAAGCGUAGCGGAACAAAUCAAGCCCUUACAAGAGCUUACUCUGGUAUCCAUUACCCGAAGC
This is a non-coding RNA of Pelobates cultripes (western spadefoot toad), 247 nucleotides long. NCBI's taxonomy places the organism in Eukaryota, Metazoa, Chordata, Amphibia, Anura, Pelobatidae. The record is from the annotation of a GenBank genome assembly.